CCGCCGGCGACCGGCGCACGGGUGAGUAACACGUAUGCAACCUGGCCGUGACAGAUGGAUAACCGGGAGAAAUCCCGCCUAAUACAACAUAAUGCCGGGAGGGGACAUCCCCUGCCGGCCAAAGGGGGCGACCCCGGUCACGGAUAGGCAUGCGGCGCAUUAGGUAGUUGGUGGGGCAACGGCCCACCAAGCCGACGAUGCGUAGGGGUUCUGAGAGGAAGGUCCCCCACAUUGGAACUGAGACACGGUCCAAACUCCUACGGGAGGCAGCAG
This 273-nucleotide ribosomal RNA is filed under the name uncultured bacterium. Its description in RNAcentral is "partial 16S ribosomal RNA". It matches the Rfam family "Bacterial small subunit ribosomal RNA", at positions 85 to 354 of the family's 1533-position model. The record is from RNAcentral.